Molecule: ribosomal RNA, 467 nt
Filed under: Embia ramburi
Lineage: Eukaryota; Metazoa; Arthropoda; Insecta; Embioptera; Embiidae
Description: partial 16S ribosomal RNA
Rfam family: Bacterial large subunit ribosomal RNA
Source: RNAcentral
UCUGCUCAUGAUUUAUAAAAUUAAAUAGCUGCAGUAAAUUGACUGUACGAAGGUAGCAUAGUAAUUAGUUUAUUAAUUGUAAACUGGAAUGAAUGAGUUGACUAGGUAUUGGCUGUCUGGUUUUUGUAUAUUUUGUUGAAUUUAGUUUUUAAGUUAAAAAUCUUAAUGGUUUUUGAGGGACGAGAAGACCCUAUAGAACUUUACAUUAGUUUUUUAGUUGAUGGAUAAAUUUAUUGUUUAGUUGGGGUGAUUGGAAUAAUAUAUAAACUAUUUUUGUUUAAUACAAUGAUUUUUGGCUGGGGUGUUUUAAGGUUUUAUAGAAAGAUAAAGUUACCUUAGGGAUAACAGCAUAAUUCUUAUGGAAAGUUCAAAUUAAUAUAAGAGUUUGUGACCUCGAUGUUGAAUUAGGGUACCUUAUUGGCGAAGUUGCUUGUUAAGUUGGUCUGUUCGACCAUUGAAAUCUUACA